AACGCAAAUUGCGCUUCCUGGUAUUCCGGGAAGUAUGCCUGUUUGAGGGUCAGUUUAAAUUAACAUCGGGGUGUUGCUUUUUGGGGUGACUCUUCGGAAUUGGGAUUAUCUUGAUUUCUGGAUCAAGUGACCCGAAAUUAACACGUUUCUUUGCAUCUCGGACGUACAUAAGAAAAUUUUUUUCAUCCGUCAGGGUUUGCCAGGCUUUAUUAGGUAUGACCAUGUUGUUUGUGGCAUCCGUACUUAUAACAUAACUCAUAUUUUGACCUCAAAUCAGGUAGGAAUACCCGCUGAACUUAA
RNAcentral lists this unclassified non-coding RNA (300 nucleotides) under uncultured fungus. RNAcentral describes it as "partial contains 5.8S ribosomal RNA, internal transcribed spacer 2, and large subunit ribosomal RNA". The record is from RNAcentral. Lineage: Eukaryota; Fungi.